AAGUAAGAAGUGAAAUAAUCACAAUUAGUUUCGACCUAAUAUAUGGUAAAUAAAUAUACCCUUACUUU
RNAcentral lists this transfer RNA (68 nucleotides) under Rugitermes sp. A TB-2014. RNAcentral's name for it is "tRNA-Arg". The record is from RNAcentral. Lineage: Eukaryota; Metazoa; Arthropoda; Insecta; Blattodea; Kalotermitidae. RNAcentral also lists the same sequence under 1 other name.